UUAUCAAUAUCUUAUGUGAAAAGCUUAAUUGCACAACUCCCUUCUCCAUUUAUUUCCUGCUUCUUGGUAGCCUUUGACCAUAUUGGAGUGACCACCUGGGGCCUGUGAGGCAAGGCCAUUAAAACAUGGCAGAUGCUUCAAGACCUGAUUCAGAGGAUCACAGAGGAUGACUUGGAUUCUAUCGAUCCUAUACCUGAGGAUAUCCCUGAAGGUUUAUGGUCAAAGUCUUCCACAGAUGAAGGUCUAUUUAAAUCAGCUACUCCUGUAAGGAUUAAGGAAGGACCAGUUCCUUGUGUACCUCAAUAUCCCUUAACUAUCGAAUAAACAGAGGGUAUCAGACCA
Molecule: long non-coding RNA, 342 nt
Filed under: Monodelphis domestica (gray short-tailed opossum)
Lineage: Eukaryota; Metazoa; Chordata; Mammalia; Didelphimorphia; Didelphidae
Description: lncRNA (ENSMODG00000039928.1)
Source: RNAcentral